GCAUAUCUUCAAAUCUAACAGUUGAUGCCCCUUUCUGGAACCCCAGACCGGUUCUGCCUUUGUUGUCGGAGACCUCUACCAUGCGCCCCCACUGAUCAACAAGACCUUCUUCAACAAUCUUCUGAGCAUCUUUCAGAGAGGACAUAGGUGCCCCAACUCUCUUCUCAACAGCAAUAGAGAAGGCUUGGAACGGAGUUCCAACCUCAUCCUCAACUUCUACAUACAAGAAAGAUGACAGAUGGAUAACCA
RNAcentral lists this long non-coding RNA (249 nucleotides) under Lathyrus oleraceus (garden pea). RNAcentral describes it as "Pisum sativum (pea) long non-coding RNA (PSAT_LNC009264)". Lineage: Eukaryota; Viridiplantae; Streptophyta; Magnoliopsida; Fabales; Fabaceae. The record is from RNAcentral.